UAGAAAAAUUGUACCUGCAUAGUUUAG
RNAcentral lists this non-coding RNA (27 nucleotides) under Mus musculus (house mouse). Lineage: Eukaryota; Metazoa; Chordata; Mammalia; Rodentia; Muridae. The record is from RNAcentral.